UACGUAGGGUGCAAGCGUUAAUCGGAAUUACUGGGCGUAAAGCGUGCGCAGGCGGUGCUGUAAGACAGGCGUGAAAUCCCCGGGCUUAACCUGGGAAUGGCGCUUGUGACUGCAGUGCUGGAGUGCGGCAGAGGGGGAUGGAAUUCCGCGUGUAGCAGUGAAAUGCGUAGAUAUGCGGAGGAACACCGAUGGCGAAGGCAAUCCCCUGGGCCUGUACUGACGCUCAUGCACGAAAGCGUGGGGAGCAAACAGG
Molecule: ribosomal RNA, 253 nt
Filed under: uncultured bacterium
Lineage: Bacteria
Description: partial 16S ribosomal RNA
Rfam family: Bacterial small subunit ribosomal RNA
Source: RNAcentral